UGCUCAACAGCAUACAGCCAGUACUGAUAGGUGUUGCCAUCGGUGCUGGUUUUACAGGGUGUGGUUGCGAUUGUAAACGUCUGCUGCUAUUAUAUAAUUGGCAUACCCAUCGGAGUACUACUUGGAUAUGUGGCUGAUCUGGGAAUUAAGGGCCUGUGGGUUGGAUUGCUGUGUGGAAUACUAGCGCAGACAUUAGUGCUUUCUUUCCUCACUUGGCGAACAAAUUGGGAAGAACAGGUCAAUCGGGCAUCUAAACAUCUUGAUCAGUGGCUUUUGGAACCAGAGGAACCUACUGAGAGUACUGGUCUUGCUUGAAAUC
Long non-coding RNA from Eucalyptus grandis, 319 nucleotides. RefSeq lists it as uncharacterized. The record is from RefSeq and is a predicted model, not a curated record. Lineage: Eukaryota; Viridiplantae; Streptophyta; Magnoliopsida; Myrtales; Myrtaceae. The transcript is spliced from 4 exons.